This 407-nucleotide RNase P RNA is filed under the name Segniliparus rugosus. Its description in RNAcentral is "RNase P RNA component class A". It matches the Rfam family "Bacterial RNase P class A". Rfam says of the family: Ribonuclease P (RNase P) is a ubiquitous endoribonuclease, found in archaea, bacteria and eukarya as well as chloroplasts and mitochondria. Its best characterised activity is the generation of mature 5'-ends of tRNAs by cleaving the 5'-leader elements of precursor-tRNAs. RNAcentral also lists the same sequence under 1 other name. Lineage: Bacteria; Bacillati; Actinomycetota; Actinomycetes; Mycobacteriales; Segniliparaceae. The record is from RNAcentral.
CGAGCUGGCCAAGCGGUCGCGGCUUCGGAGACAGGCGGGCAGGUCGCGCCGGGUCCGAGGUCGAGGAAAGUCCGGACUCCACAGAGCAGGGUGGUUGCUAACGGCAACCCGAGGCGACUCGCGGGAAAGUGCCACAGAGAACAGACUGCCGGCGCGUGGCUCGCCACGGAGCCGGUGAGGGUGAAACGGUGCGGUAAGAGCGCACCAGCGCCCCGGGUGACCGGGGCGGCUCGGUAAACCCCACCUGGAGCAAGGUCAAAUGCCCGCACCCUCGCGGUGCGGGUGCGCAGGCGCUCGAGGGCUGCUCGCCCGAGCUUGCGGGUAGACCGCAUUCAGGCGUCCGGCGACGGGCGUCGCAGAUGGAUGGCCGCUCACGACAGAAUCCGGCUUAUCGGCCAGCUCGCCGC